Molecule: ribosomal RNA, 513 nt
Filed under: uncultured Scutellospora
Lineage: Eukaryota; Fungi; Glomeromycota; Glomeromycetes; Diversisporales; Gigasporaceae
Description: SSU rRNA
Rfam family: Eukaryotic small subunit ribosomal RNA
Source: RNAcentral
AGCAGCCGCGGUAAUUCCAGCUCCAAUAGCGUAUAUUAAAGUUGUUGCAGUUAAAAAGCUCGUAGUUGAAUUUCGGGAUUCUACCGUCGGUCGGGCUACCAAGUCUGUACUGGUGUGUAGAAUUCCUACCUUCUGGGGAACCAUCAUGUUAUUAAUUUAGCGUGGUGGGAAACCAGGACCUUUACCUUGAAAAAAUUAGAGUGUUCAAAACAGGCUUAUGUCUGACUACAUUAGCAUGGAAUAAUAGAAUAGGACGGUGGUCCUGUUUUGUUGGUUUCUGAAUCACCGUAAUGAUUAAUAGGGAUAGUUGGGGGCAUUAGUAUUCAAUUGUCAGAGGUGAAAUUCUUGGAUUUAUUGAAGACUAACUUCUGCGAAAGCAUUUGCCAAGGAUGUUUUCAUUAAUCAAGAACGAAAGUUAGGGGAUCGAAGACGAUCAGAUACCGUCGUAGUCUUAAUCAUAAACUAUGCCGACUAGGGAUCGGACGAUGUUAAAUUUUAUUGACUCGUUCGGCG